Molecule: ribosomal RNA, 506 nt
Filed under: uncultured bacterium
Lineage: Bacteria
Description: partial 16S ribosomal RNA
Rfam family: Bacterial small subunit ribosomal RNA
Source: RNAcentral
AUUGAACGCUGGCGGCAGGCCUAACACAUGCAAGUCGAACGGUAACAGGAAACAGCUUGCUGUUUCGCUGACGAGUGGCGGACGGGUGAGUAAUGUCUGGGAAACUGCCUGAUGGAGGGGGAUAACUACUGGAAACGGUAGCUAAUACCGCAUAACGUCGCAAGACCAAAGAGGGGGACCUUCGGGCCUCUUGCCAUCGGAUGUGCCCAGAUGGGAUUAGCUAGUAGGUGGGGUAACGGCUCCCCUAGGCGACGAUCCCUAGCUGGUCUGAGAGGAUGACCAGCCACACUGGAACUGAGACACGGUCCAGACUCCUACGGGAGGCAGCAGGGGGGAAUAUUGCUCAAUGGGCGCAAGCCUGAUGCAGCCAUGCCGCGUGUAUGAAGAAGGCCUUCGGGUUGUAAAGUACUUUCAGCGGGGAGGAAGGGAGUAAAGUCAAUACCUUUGCUCAUUGACGUUACCCGCAGAAGAAGCACCGGCUAACUCCGUGCCAGCCGCCGCAGUAA